This 230-nucleotide ribosomal RNA is filed under the name uncultured bacterium. RNAcentral's name for it is "partial 16S ribosomal RNA". It matches the Rfam family "Bacterial small subunit ribosomal RNA", at positions 561 to 791 of the family's 1533-position model. The record is from RNAcentral.
UAAAGCGUGCGCAGGCGGUUAUGUAAGACAGAUGUGAAAUCCCGGGCUCAACCUGGGAACUGCAUUUGUGACUGCAUGGCUAGAGUACGGUAGAGGGGGAUGGAAUUCCGCGUGUAGCAGUGAAAUGCGUAGAUAUGCGGAGGAACACCGAUGGCGAAGGCAAUCCCCUGGACCUGUACUGACGCUCAUGCACGAAAGCGUGGGGAGCAAACAGGAUUAGAUACCCGUGU